Molecule: long non-coding RNA, 3147 nt
Filed under: Homo sapiens (human)
Lineage: Eukaryota; Metazoa; Chordata; Mammalia; Primates; Hominidae
Description: HSALNT0313339
Source: RNAcentral
AGGUUAGUUACAUAUGUAUACAUGUGCCAUGCUGGUGUGCUGCACCCACUAACUCGUCAUCUAGCAUCCAAAGAAUCACAGCAUAGUCAAUUACAUCAAAAUUGAAAGCUUUGUCCCCAGUGCCCAGAAGUGGUAUAAUGUAAAUUUUAAUUUGUUUCUUUUGUUAAUAUAUCAAAUUGCAAGUGAUUCAUAGAAAACAUUUUGAAGGAAGAGAGUAGGGUCUUGAGCUUUCUUAAAAAGUGAAUUUUAGUUGACUCUAACAUAGAGGCAUCUUGGAGGGUAAAUACUAUUUUGCCCCAGUUAUAAUUGUGUUUGAAUGAAAUGCUGGAGAAAGCGUAGUGACAUUAUUCUUUCAUUAGUUUUGUUUUUGCUUUUCGAUAUUUUGUUUAUUUUGCUAAAUACUAGUUCCUAGAAAAGUACAAAAGUCGGUAAUGGUUCUAAUAUUAGGAGACUUCAGUCUGCUCUUAGCUGAGAUUAUCUGAGACAUAUGUGCUUCUCUGUGCAUGAUCAAGACUAAGGAGUUAUUUAAUCCCUAUCAAGUAUCAGACACUGCUCUAGGUUCUGGGACAUAGCAACAAGCAAAAGGAAGUUCCAAAUGUCAUGGAACUCACAUUGUAAUUGGCAAUGAUAGACAAUAAAUGGUUAUGCAGUAUUUCCAAUGAUGACAAAUGCUGUGGGAAAAAAAAAAAGCUAGGAAAAAAUGGUUAAGGGAUGGAGAGUGAUGCAAAGGGUGCCAUUUUAUAAAGAUUAGGUAGGAGCAACACGCAAAUAAGGGACAUUCUAACAAAGACUUGAUUGGAGAGUGUGAGCCAAGUAAAUGUCUCCAGGAAGAGCUUCACAAGCAGAAGCUAUGUAGGUGCAGAGGCAGUGAAUGGAAGCAUACUUGGUUUCACCACCAAAAAGUCAGGGCUGAUGGAGUGAACUUUGAGAAGGAAAGAAUGGUGAGGUAUAAAUUCAAUCAAGUUAGCCAGAGGUCAUAUAAUAUGGGUUCCACACAAUCAUAGUAUUCUGAGUGAGAUGAAAAGUUGUUCGAGGUUUUUGAGCUUAAAUGACAUAGUCUGUUUCAUUUCAAUAGAAUCAUUCUGGCUACUAUGUGGACAAAAACUGUAGCAGGUAAAGAACAGGAGCCAAGAAGCCAGUAUGGAGCCAAAGAGCAGGCCAAGUGAGGGAUGAUGACUCACUCACUGGCUAGCUGAGUGGUUCUUGGGUAUGUAGAAAUCUUCAUUUCUUCUGAAUGUUUUGACUUAGAAGCUUCCAUCUGUGACAUAAAUGGAUAAUGACUCACUCACUGGCUAGCUCAUUAGUUCUUGGGUAUGUAGAAAUCUUCAUUUCUUUUGAAUGUUUUGACUUGCAAGCUUCCAUCUGUGACAUAAACGAAAGUCUCAUUUGAUUACCAUCCAAAGCAACUAUGAGCAAAGCUACCAUCUCUGGCUUGAAGUUAUCUCCAAGUUAUUGUCUAUGAUGAAGAACAGCAUUACCAGAAUGACAAAAAGCAAAUUUUUGAUUUUAUUUUCAUCUUUUAGCCUUAUUGAAUAGAUGUUUAUAGGAAAGAGUAUUAGUAUUUAAAAGAUUUAUAUUAAUGUCUAUUAUACCUACUUAGGUCCGUGAUUGAAUUUUAUUCUUAUCUUGUAGAGAAAAGAGAGUAAAGGAUCUUAGAUGACGGACUUGGAAUUGUUGAAUCUUUUCCCUGCAGAAGGCAGUGUUUCUUGUAUGUGAGGGUCAGGUGUGUCCUGGAAACAAAUGCAAAAAGAAGACUUAACCUUCAAGAAAAUUCAUGUCUAAUUUUGGAUCUCUCAGAGCAGCAUUAAAAAAAAAUGAAAACAAAGAGUGGAAAAAGGGAGAUUAGAUAGUAGAAUAGAUUGUUGCAUCCUGGAUUUUCAUUCUUUUCUUUUAUCUCUGCAGCCUUGAGGAUUUAUUGGCACCCAUUUCAUUUGUCUUUCUCUGGAUUUAACAUUGAGGUGAUGAGAUGGAAUAUUACCUGUAUGCUUCGGAACAUCUAUGAGUGACAUGUAAUAGUUGCCUGGGAAACUAGAGAUGAAAUUCUACAGGUCUUUGAAAUGCUUUACAUUUGAGAAUGAAGCUCAGCUGAAGUUUGAACAGCAUACUGACAUAUACCAACAAGAAUGAAAAUAACUUAACAGCAAUUUUAUAAAUUCACAUCCCCCAGAGCACCACAGAGUAAAGAAAUACUGCAUAUGGGUAACAACUGGUUCUUAGUUACUAAAUCUGAAAGAUCAAAUACAGUUAAUUACAUAAGCUUCUCUUGAGUUUUUCUGGGGGAAUAUACCAGGAGACCAUAAUCAAGGUUUCUGGUAUUGCACUAAACACGAUGAAAAACAGGAGAGAACGGAGAGGGAUCAUGUUUUACCACAAUAUGCAAUUUAUGGGAGAGAUGAAGCGCUCAGGUGGAGAUGACUAGUGUCACGUGGUGUUUUAAGUGGAUACUCACAACGCUGGAACUCACAGCAAUAACAACAAGAGAUCCUCUAUAGACUGUUGAUGUAUAGCCAUGAGAAAAAAAAAAGAAAAAUUUUUGCUCUCAAUGAGCUUGCAUUUAAGCAUCUAUAAAAGGUGAGAUUAAUAUUUACUCAGUGAACUUUGAGUAAAGCAUUGGGUGCUUCAUUAUGUGGAGGAGUCUCAUCCAAUCAGUUGAAGGUGACUGAAUGGAACUAUAGAUCGACCUCACAUAAAUGAGAGGGAAUUCUGCAACAGAUCAUCUUUGCCUUUGAACUGCAGCAUGGACUCCCCUCUGGGUCUCCUGCCUGCCAGCCCACCCUGCAGAGUGCAUUUGCCAGCCUCCACAAUCAGGUAAUUUAUCCUGUGCAUUAACAAGAGGAAGUCUAGAGCCAUGGAAACCAAGUCAGGAAACUUCUCUCUUAUUAUUAGGUCCACUGCAAAUCUAGUUGAGACUGCAAAUCGAGCUAAUGAUAUCUUAAGUUAGAACAUCAUGCCAAGAGAAGUAUGUUUUCAACCAAGAAAGCAAAAUCAACAUGAUCCUAAAUGAACUGCUUCUGCAUGUCAACAGUCUUGAUAUACCUGAGAGAGUGAGAUACAGAGUAUGUUGUUAAACUUUUUAUAAUUACAAAUAUUGCUUGUAUUUCUUUUGAAAUUUGCCACACGCUGAUAUUAAAAAUAAUAGAUAGAAAA